This 497-nucleotide ribosomal RNA is filed under the name uncultured bacterium. RNAcentral describes it as "partial 16S ribosomal RNA". It matches the Rfam family "Bacterial small subunit ribosomal RNA", at positions 28 to 507 of the family's 1533-position model. The record is from RNAcentral.
GAUGAACGCUGGCGGCGUGCCUAAUACAUGCCAGUCGAGCGAACGGACGAGAAGCUUGCUUCUCUGAUGUUAGCGGCGGACGGGUGAGUAACACGUGGAUAACCUACUUAUAAGACUGGGAUAACUUCGGGAAACCGGAGCUAAUACCGGAUAAUAUUUUGAACCGCAUGGUUCAAAAGUGAAAGACGGUCUUGCUGUCACUUAUAGAUGGAUCCGCGCUGCAUUAGCUAGUUGGUAAGGUAACGGCUUACCAAGGCAACGAUGCAUAGCCGACCUGAGAGGGUGAUCGGCCACACUGGAACUGAGACACGGUCCAGACUCCUACGGGAGGCAGCAGUAGGGAACCUUCCGCAAUGGGCGAAAGCCUGACGGAGCAACGCCGCGUGAGUGAUGAAGGUCUUCGGAUCGUAAAACUCUGUUAUUAGGGAAGAACAUAUGUGUAAGUAACUGUGCACAUCUUGACGGUACCUAAUCAGAAAGCCACGGCUAACUACGUG